GAGCUGUGAUGUUUCAUGCCUUUCUGUUGGUGGGGUCCAUCAAUUUUGUCUGAUCUUUAAAUGAAGACAUUAAAGGCCAAUCUGAGCUC
Small nucleolar RNA from Lactuca sativa (garden lettuce), 89 nucleotides. RefSeq annotates it as small nucleolar RNA snoR114. Lineage: Eukaryota; Viridiplantae; Streptophyta; Magnoliopsida; Asterales; Asteraceae. The record is from RefSeq and is a predicted model, not a curated record.